GGACAUUGUGCAAGUGUAUGACUGUGUGUGUUUGUGUGUGUGUGUUGCAAGAAGGUAGGGGCAAAGUAUAUCUGGACCUGUGAAGGAAAAAAUCAUUGCACCUUUCCUGAAAGUAGGAAAAUAGGUUGUAAAAUGUUGCAUAUGUUGCUGUUAAUCCAUAAAAAGGCAAAAUGUGAAUGGUAAUUGAUCAACGUUGUAAUAUUCAUCUUACAUUUAAUUCUAGCUUUCAUUGUCA
Molecule: non-coding RNA, 235 nt
Organism: Pelobates cultripes (western spadefoot toad)
Lineage: Eukaryota; Metazoa; Chordata; Amphibia; Anura; Pelobatidae
Source: the annotation of a GenBank genome assembly